GCAGCCUGCAACCCGGCUGCACGAAGCUGGAAUCGCUAGUAAUCGCGGAUCAGCAUGCCGCGGUGAAUACGUUCCCGGGUCUUGUACACACCGCCCGUCACACCAUGGGAGCCGGAAAUGCCCGAAGCCUGUGACCCAACCCUUAAGGGAGGGAGCAGCCUAAGGCGGGGCCGGUAACUGGGGUGAAGUCGUAACAAGGUAUC
Molecule: ribosomal RNA, 203 nt
Filed under: uncultured bacterium
Lineage: Bacteria
Description: partial 16S ribosomal RNA
Rfam family: Bacterial small subunit ribosomal RNA
Source: RNAcentral